CACUAGAGGUUGUAGUGUACUCGCAAAUAUCCUCCUCUCUCUCUCAGGGCGCAAGUGAGUGAAAGGCUCGCGGUGCGAUGAUAGUCACUGGUUGAAAGCGAACAGCUGUCUUCCCGUUCCCACUGUGCAUCGAUGUCGACCGGCAGAUGGAAAAGGUAUAGAAGUUAUAGAGACCAAUAAUAGGGGAUUCGAUACGGCGAUCGAUCGGUCAAGUCCCGCCAGGGGGAUAGUCCCGCCAAGGAAGAUACAUCAACGCAUAUCCAUCGCAACAGUUCUGUCAUCUGAGGAUAGCGCAAGAGUCUCUCUCUCUCUCUCUCUCUCUGACUGCAGGAGGACUGAUGCAUUGAAAGCAAAACAUUCAACCUUCAAUUCAACUGGUCUAUCAAUCAAGUCUGUCGAUCAACCAAGUAGGUUUGGUUUCAUUGUUUCUGUCAAUACGUCUCUCCGUUGACUAAUACCCAAUAUAAAGUGUUGCGUUCCCCUGUGAUUUAUUUUGCGCUAUUAUUAAGUGAGAAUCUAUUGGUAUUCAGGCAUUGCUCCUAUGCACAGAGAACCAUAGCACUUCUAAAUCCCUGAGCUUAUACUGUAGACUGAAAAGUUAGAAUUCCAAGAACCAGGAAAUACACUUUCUGGACCUUGAAGAUCUUUCAAGGUGCACUGAAAUAAAGUAACUGGAGGAAAUGAAAAUAUGGAAUGUGACAAGACACACACGCGCUCAUACACACACGGUCUAGGUGACCUUGAUGACGAGGCAAGAUGAGCUUAGAGAGAUUUCAUAAAUCCUUACAAAGCACAAACUCUACAACCCCCUUGUUUUUUCUCCCUCUCUCUACUCUUCCUACUUCUUUAUCUCACAAUUGUUCCUCAUUGUUUGUUUGUGCAUGUGUAUGCCUGUGUACAUGUUUCGAAUGUAUUUAUUAACUCAGCCCCUCACAUUGUUACAGUUGCAGUCUGUGGAUCAGUUUCUCUGUCAGCAUUAUAGAUCACUCUCCUCUCCCGCUGCUGUUUUCAAACUAAUGUUUCCCAGGGG
RNAcentral lists this long non-coding RNA (1030 nucleotides) under Oncorhynchus kisutch (coho salmon). RNAcentral's name for it is "lncRNA (ENSOKIG00005003557.1)". Lineage: Eukaryota; Metazoa; Chordata; Actinopteri; Salmoniformes; Salmonidae. The record is from RNAcentral.